RNAcentral lists this ribosomal RNA (508 nucleotides) under uncultured bacterium. Its description in RNAcentral is "bacterial SSU rRNA". It matches the Rfam family "Bacterial small subunit ribosomal RNA", at positions 19 to 518 of the family's 1533-position model. The record is from RNAcentral.
CUGGCUCAGGAUGAACGCUAGCUACAGGCUUAACACAUGCAAGUCGAGGGGCAGCAUUGGGGUAGCAAUACUUCAGAUGGCGACCGGCGCACGGGUGAGUAACACGUAUCCAACCUGCCGCUUACUCGGGGAUAGCCUUUCGAAAGAAAGAUUAAUACCCGAUGGUAUAAAGAGUUCGCAUGUUCUCUUUAUUAAAGAAUUUCGGUAAGCGAUGGGGAUGCGUUCCAUUAGAUAGUUGGCGGGGUAACGGCCCACCAAGUCUACGAUGGAUAGGGGUUCUGAGAGGAAGGUCCCCCACAUUGGAACUGAGACACGGUCCAAACUCCUACGGGAGGCAGCAGUGAGGAAUAUUGGUCAAUGGACGAGAGUCUGAACCAGCCCAAGUAGCGUGAAGGGUGACUGCCCUAUGGGUUGUAAACUUCUUUUAUAAGGGAAUAAAGUGAGGGACGUGUCCCUUUUUGUAUGUACCUUAUGAAUAAGGAUCGGCUAACUCCGUGCCAGCCGCGGC